Molecule: long non-coding RNA, 427 nt
Filed under: Canis lupus familiaris (dog)
Lineage: Eukaryota; Metazoa; Chordata; Mammalia; Carnivora; Canidae
Description: lncRNA (ENSCAFG00000041978.2)
Source: RNAcentral
GGCGCCCUGCCAGAGGCGCGCUCCAGCCGCGGGCCCGCCCCCCCGGCCCUCCGAUUGGGCGUCCCCGGGGGUGUGUGGGGGGGCGGGGCGCCCGCGGGGGCCGCCGGCCGGUGGUACGGCCCAGCCACCGGCCUCCAACACCCCUCGCCGCGGCUCAAGUUUCUGCGCCCGGAGGACGCGGCCUCGGCCAAUCCCCGGGCUACAGGGCGCUUUUAAAAUGCAGGCCCAACCCCGUGCAAAUGAAUCCGGGUUUGGAGAGGGUUUCAGCUUACACUUGGGGAGGCGGCAAGCCACUCCCCCGUCCCAAGCCAGAUCAAACAGCUCCCUGGAGGUAUCCCCCAAAGGAAGCCCGUGCAGAGAGCUCCUGGAAGAGAAGAGAAUCUCCCUCCCAGUGUGUGUCCAUUUAAAGCCACACAGAUGUUUUUGA